This 498-nucleotide ribosomal RNA is filed under the name uncultured bacterium. RNAcentral describes it as "partial 16S ribosomal RNA". It matches the Rfam family "Bacterial small subunit ribosomal RNA", at positions 30 to 523 of the family's 1533-position model. The record is from RNAcentral.
AUUGAACGCUGGCGGCAUGCCUUACACAUGCAAGUCGAACGGUAACAGGUCUUCGGAUGCUGACGAGUGGCGAACGGGUGAGUAAUACAUCGGAACGUGCCUAGUAGUGGGGGAUAACUACUCGAAAGAGUGGCUAAUACCGCAUGAGAUCUACGGAUGAAAGCAGGGGAUCGCAAGACCUUGUGCUACUAGAGCGGCCGAUGGCAGAUUAGGUAGUUGGUGGGAUAAAAGCUUACCAAGCCGACGAUCUGUAGCUGGUCUGAGAGGACGAUCAGCCACACUGGGACUGAGACACGGCCCAGACUCCUGCGGGAGGCAGCAGUGGGGAAUUUUGGACAAUGGGCGAAAGCCUGAUCCAGCAAUGCCGCGUGCAGGAUGAAGGCCUUCGGGUUGUAAACUGCUUUCGUACGGAACGAAAAGCCCCGGGUUAAUACCCUGGGGUCAUGACGGUACCGUAAGAAUAAGCACCGGCUAACUACGUGCCAGCAGCCGCCGUAA